UACGUAGGGGGCGAGCGUUGUUCGGAAUUACUGGGCGUAAAGGGCGCGUAGGCGGCCGAUCAAGUCAGAUGUGAAAGUCCUGGGCUUAACCUGGGGACUGCAUUUGAUACUGAUUGGCUUGAAUGCAGGAGAGGAUAGCGGAAUUCCCAGUGUAGAGGUGAAAUUCGUAGAUAUUGGGAAGAACACCGGUGGCGAAGGCGGCUAUCUGGACUGUGAUUGACGCUGAGGCGCGAAAGCGUGGGGAGCAAACAGG
Molecule: ribosomal RNA, 253 nt
Filed under: uncultured bacterium
Lineage: Bacteria
Description: partial 16S ribosomal RNA
Rfam family: Bacterial small subunit ribosomal RNA
Source: RNAcentral